RNAcentral lists this long non-coding RNA (577 nucleotides) under Rhinopithecus bieti (black snub-nosed monkey). Its description in RNAcentral is "lncRNA (ENSRBIG00000045914.1)". Lineage: Eukaryota; Metazoa; Chordata; Mammalia; Primates; Cercopithecidae. The record is from RNAcentral.
AUGUUACGACUUUUCCUUAGGUCAAGUUUCUUGAAAAAAUAAUGUGAAAUUGAGGUUGGCUCACAAUAAAUUAUUGAGGAGUGAACUGAGACAAUGCCCAUAAGGAAAGGAGUCAAGCAGGACCUCACAGAGCAAGAGGCUGAAUCACGCAUUUUUGGAAGGUAUUAUUGGCAUAAUACUCGCUGAUGGCUUACAUAGCAUUCAGAUACCAGCUUCUCAAUCUCUGAAGUUGACAGCACGCACUGCCCUGAAACCUACCCCAGUGAUGUAGCUACAUCAUCCCAGUGCGGAAGGUCCACAUGCAUAAGAUCCAAAAGAAAAAUCCCCUUUUUUUUAGAUUAGCAAAAUCUGGAAGUCAAGUGUACAGCUUUACUUUUCGUUCCUCUGUGCAAGCUCAUCGUGGUCACACCACCACCGCUCCCCUCACAGAUGAAUAGAGAGCUGAUUGUGAUAUGUUUCAUACUCCGAACAGUGUGUGAAAACCUCUGAGUGUGGUAUCUUUUGUAUUAUUAUGCAGAAAACACAUUUUUGAAUAGCUGUUGUGUUUCGAGGACAGGGAUAAGUAAAACUAUUUUAC